UCAGCCCGGUCCCUCAGGGCUGACCCUCACCCCUGUCCCUCGUCCUUGUCGCUCAUCCCAGUCCCUCAGGGCUGACCCUCCCUCCACACCCUCAGGCUCGCCCGACGGCGUCAGAGCCCUCAGCCCGCGGCCGGCGCUGCCGCUUCCGUGUGAGGCGCUGCCGAGGGUCGCCUUGCUCUGCCUGAGCUUACUGUUUUUCUACAGCGUUUUCUCUGGGUUUUAGUUGCUUAUCUUCAGAGGAGGCCAGAAAACAACACCCUCUAAACUCCUAUGCGGUGCAAAAACUCUCUAUAAACUGAAAUCAAAUUUGGAGUAAUCAAUACAUCGUUGCCUGUUAAGACUCAGCAAAGAAAUGAAAAGGAGUUUAGGUGACACCUCAACUCGCAGCACAGCAGGUUGUCUGCCUGUACCGCUGUUCAAUCAGAAAAAAAGAACUAGACAGCCCCUCACUUCAAAUCCAAUUAAAAGUGAGCCAGGUGCCGGUUCUGGGACUCGUACAUAUGACUUCUCUCCCACAUC
This is a long non-coding RNA of Neopelma chrysocephalum (saffron-crested tyrant-manakin), 519 nucleotides long. RefSeq lists it as uncharacterized. The transcript has 3 exons. NCBI's taxonomy places the organism in Eukaryota, Metazoa, Chordata, Aves, Passeriformes, Pipridae. The record is from RefSeq and is a predicted model, not a curated record.